CUCAGCACACGCCCUGCCCAAGCUCUUCUUCCAGCCCAAAUCCCCAGCCAGCAGCAGCACAAGACAUCUAUCCAGCAAUGGCGUCCACCUCCUGCUUCCUCCACCAGUCCACCGCCCGCCUCGCCGCCUCCGCCCGCCCCUCCGCCGCCCGCACCCAGAUCCUCGUCUGCAAGGCCCAGCAGCACGACUCCUCCGACGCCGCCACCACCCGCCGCGCCGCCCUCUCCCUCCUCGCCGGCGCCGCCGCCGCCGCCUCCCUCAAGGUCUCCCCCGCCUCCGCCGCCUACGGCGAAGCCGGUACGUAACAGAGAUCUUACCCGCCGUUUGGUCCCAACAGAUCUCUCUCUAAUUUGGUUGAUUUCUCUGUAUGUGCAGCGAAUGUGUUUGGGAAGCAGAAGAGCACGGAGUUCGUGGCGUAC
This 419-nucleotide long non-coding RNA is filed under the name Brachypodium distachyon (stiff brome). Its description in RNAcentral is "long non-coding RNA (BDIS_LNC001156)". The record is from RNAcentral. Lineage: Eukaryota; Viridiplantae; Streptophyta; Magnoliopsida; Poales; Poaceae.